Molecule: unclassified non-coding RNA, 211 nt
Filed under: Hevea brasiliensis (rubber tree)
Lineage: Eukaryota; Viridiplantae; Streptophyta; Magnoliopsida; Malpighiales; Euphorbiaceae
Source: RNAcentral
CGAACGCGCGGUUGGCGAGAAUAUAUCUGCCAUCCUCGAUGCUUUUGGCCGCGACACAGACCGGAAUGUUGUCGAUGACCGAUUCAAGGAAGUGCGUGGUGNNNNNNNGCAAGCUGCCGGGACAUUUUGCGCUGUGCGGUGCAAUCCUCGUGCGUCGACACCGUUCCGCCGUUGGCCAGCUUUCGAUGCUUGAUCAGGAUCGAGCGGCUAU